RNAcentral lists this ribosomal RNA (506 nucleotides) under uncultured bacterium. RNAcentral's name for it is "partial 16S ribosomal RNA". It matches the Rfam family "Bacterial small subunit ribosomal RNA", at positions 29 to 523 of the family's 1533-position model. The record is from RNAcentral.
AGUGAACGCUGGCGGUAGGCCUAACACAUGCAAGUCGAACGGCAGCACAGGAGAGCUUGCUCUCUGGGUGGCGAGUGGCGGACGGGUGAGGAAUACAUCGGAAUCUGCUCUGUCGUGGGGGAUAACGUAGGGAAACUUACGCUAAUACCGCAUACGACCUACGGGUGAAAGCAGGGGACCUUCGGGCCUUGCGCGAUUGAAUGAGCCGAUGUCGGAUUAGCUAGUUGGCGGGGUAAAGGCCCACCAAGGCGACGAUCCGUAGCUGGUCUGAGAGGAUGAUCAGCCACACUGGAACUGAGACACGGUCCAGACUGCUACGGGAGGCAGCAGUGGGGAAUAUUGGACAAUGGGCGCAAGCCUGAUCCAGCCAUACCGCGUGGGUGAAGAAGGCCUUCGGGUUGUAAAGCCCUUUUGUUGGGAAAGAAAUCCAGCUGGCUAAUACCCGGUUGGGAUGACGGUACCCAAAGAAUAAGCACCGGCUAACUUCGUGCCAGCAGCCGCGGUAA